Molecule: ribosomal RNA, 364 nt
Filed under: uncultured bacterium
Lineage: Bacteria
Description: partial 16S ribosomal RNA
Rfam family: Bacterial small subunit ribosomal RNA
Source: RNAcentral
CCUACGGGUGGCUGCAGUGAGGAAUAUUGGUCAAUGGCCGGAAGGCUGAACCAGCCAUGCCGCGUGAAGGUCAGUGCCCUAUGGGCGUUAAACUUCUUUUGUGCGGGAGCAAUAAUGGUCACGUGUGGCCAGACGAGAGUACCGUACGAAUAAGCAGCGGCUAACACCGUGCCAGAAGCCGCGGUAAUACGGGGGAUGAAAGCGUUAUCCGGAUUUAUUGGGUUUAAAGGGUGCGUAGGGUGGGAGGUAAGUCAGCGGUGAAAUGUCCCCGCUCAACGGGGUGAAGUGCCAUUGAUACUGGCAUGCUGGAGUGCAGAUGCGGUAGGAGGAAUGUGUGGUGUAGCGGUGAAAUGCAUAGAUAUCA